UAGGGAAUCUUCCGCAAUGGGCGAAAGCCUGACGGAGCAACGCCGCGUGAGUGAUGAAGGUCUUCGGAUCGUAAAACUCUGUUAUUAGGGAAGAACAAAUGUGUAAGUAACUAUGCACGUCUUGACGGUACCUAAUCAGAAAGCCACGGCUAACUACGUGCCAGCAGCCGCGGUAAUACGUAGGUGGCAAGCGUUAUCCGGAAUUAUUGGGCGUAAAGCGCGCGUAGGCGGUUUUUUAAGUCUGAUGUGAAAGCCCACGGCUCAACCGUGGAGGGUCAUUGGAAACUGAAAAACUUGAGUGCAGAAGAGGAAAGUGGAAUUCCAUGUGUAGCGGUGAAAUGCGCAGAGAUAUGGAGGAACAUCAGUGGCGAAGGCGACUUUCUGGUCUGUAACUGACGCUGAUGUGCGAAAGCGUGGGGAUCAAACA
This 427-nucleotide ribosomal RNA is filed under the name uncultured Staphylococcus sp. RNAcentral's name for it is "partial 16S ribosomal RNA". It matches the Rfam family "Bacterial small subunit ribosomal RNA", at positions 355 to 774 of the family's 1533-position model. The record is from RNAcentral. Lineage: Bacteria; Bacillati; Bacillota; Bacilli; Caryophanales; Staphylococcaceae.